RNAcentral lists this ribosomal RNA (800 nucleotides) under Flavobacteriaceae bacterium enrichment culture clone SJC11. Its description in RNAcentral is "bacterial SSU rRNA". It matches the Rfam family "Bacterial small subunit ribosomal RNA", at positions 67 to 869 of the family's 1533-position model. Lineage: Bacteria; Pseudomonadati; Bacteroidota; Flavobacteriia; Flavobacteriales; Flavobacteriaceae. The record is from RNAcentral.
GGUAUUCAGUUGCUUGCAACUGAAGAGACCGGCGCACGGGUGAGUAACGCGUAUGUAACUUGCCUCAUUCAACGGGAUAGCCCGGGGAAACCCGGAUUAAUAUCGUAUAACAGCCGGACAGGCAUCUGUUUGGUUUGAAAGAUUCAUCGGAAUGAGAUAGACAUGCGUAUGAUUAGCUUGUUGGCGGGGUAACGGCCCACCAAGGCGAUGAUCAUUAGGGGUCCUGAGAGGGUGAUCCCCCACACUGGUACUGAGACACGGACCAGACUCCUACGGGAGGCAGCAGUGAGGAAUAUUGGACAAUGGGUGAGAGCCUGAUCCAGCCAUCCCGCGUGCAGGAAGACGGCCUUAUGGGUUGUAAACUGCUUUUAUACAGGAAUAAACCAUCUUACGAGUAGGGUGUUGAAGGUACUGUAUGAAUAAGCACCGGCUAACUCCGUGCCAGCAGCCGCGGUAAUACGGAGGGUGCAAGCGUUAUCCGGAUUUAUUGGGUUUAAAGGGUCCGCAGGCGGGUCUGUAAGUCAGGGGUGAAAUCCGGCAGCUUAACUGUCGAACUACCUUUGAUACUGCAGGUCUUGAGUGGGAAUGAAGCAGCUGGAAUGUGUGGUGUAGCGGUGAAAUGCAUAGAUAUCACACAGAACACCGAUAGCGAAGGCAGGUUGCUAAUUCUCAACUGACGCUGAGGGACGAAAGCGUGGGGAGCGAACAGGAUUAGAUACCCUGGUAGUCCACGCCGUAAACGAUGGAUACUGUCUGUUGGUUCGUAAGGAUCAGUGGAUAAGCGAAAGUGAUAAGUAUCC